This 487-nucleotide unclassified non-coding RNA is filed under the name Hevea brasiliensis (rubber tree). Lineage: Eukaryota; Viridiplantae; Streptophyta; Magnoliopsida; Malpighiales; Euphorbiaceae. The record is from RNAcentral.
UUGUAAGGAUAUACAAAGAGGCUAGACUCGGAAAGGACAUAAGAGUCGACUUGAUCAUUUGAUAGUGAAUCAACAAUAGUGCACUCAGCUGGUCCAAGAAUCUCGUCCAAAUGAGCCUUGGAAAGAGUUCGAAGGCCCUUUCCUUCAGGAUCAACAAAUAUGCUAAGCUCAAAAAAUGUUAUUUCUAGCCUCUUCUCAUAACCUUCAAAACCAAUUGCAGAGACAGCCAUAGCCGUAUUGACCGCCAGAAAUUAUUACAGUGACAAAGUAUUCAAAGAUGCAAAAUAGACCACAGUCAAAAGCAGUGACAGUUGCAACUUGCAAGAGAAAUGUGUUUCAGCAAUCACAGUUGAAGAUGUUGCAGUUGUUAGGAAAUCGAAGUCGCAGAGAGAGGGAGGAAGAGGAAGAGAUCGGUUGAAGAAGCAACUAAAAACUAUGGCAAUUAUAUUAUAGAAACCACUUUAAGUGGUGGCAGGCAGCCUACUUG